ACGAACGCUGGCGGCGUGCUUAACACAUGCAAGUCGAACGGAAAGGCCCCUUUGGGGGUACUCGAGUGGCGAACGGGUGAGGAACACGUGAGUAACCUGCCCUUGACUUCGGGAUAACUUCAGGAAACUGGGGCUAAUACCGGAUAGGAAUCCUUGCUGCAUGGUGGGGGUUGGAAAGCUUCGGCGGUUUUGGAUGGACUCGCGGCUUAUCGGCUUGUUGGUGGGGUAGUGGCUUACCAAGGCUUUGACGGGUAGCCGGCCUGUGAGGGCGACCGGCCACAUUGGGACUGAGAUACGGCCCAGACUCCUACGGGAGGCAGCAGUGGGGAAUAUUGCACAAUGGGCGGAAGCCUGAUGCAGCAACGCCGCGUGCGGGAUGACGGCCUUCGGGUUGUAAACCGCUUUCAGCAGGGGCGAAGCUUGUGGUGACGGUACCUGCAGAAGAAGCACCGGCUAACUACGUG
This 464-nucleotide ribosomal RNA is filed under the name uncultured bacterium. Its description in RNAcentral is "partial 16S ribosomal RNA". It matches the Rfam family "Bacterial small subunit ribosomal RNA", at positions 29 to 507 of the family's 1533-position model. The record is from RNAcentral.